CCCAUCUAAAUUGAUUUAUAUAUUGUACAAAUAUGAAGAUUAAUACACAAACAAGCUAGAUAAAUUAUUUAAAAAUAAAUAAAAAUAACCAAAUCAUUACCUUGAGCAUUGAAUAUAACAUUUCUUGGAUCCGGUAGGAUUAAACUGGAUGAUUGUAAAUGUUGUGUGAAGUCAAGACUUUUGUUCUCACCCUACAUGAAAUAAUAAUAUCAAUAACACGUACAUGUACGAAGAAAAUUUAAUCAUCAAUAUAUAGUGAUCAUUAGAAGUUGUGAAUAUGAUAACAAUAAUGGAAUGUUGUGCUUGUUGAGCUGCCUAAAACACAGUUGCACCAUCUCCAGGAUUACUUUGUUGUGCCUAGGUUCUCUUCCCUUUGGUUGAACUACAACUUGAAUGCAUCACAUCAUUACUUAUUAUACUUUGUUUAUGCCAAAAAUAAUGUUAAAAUAAUAAAUAUAAAUAUAUAUCUAUGGUAAUAGAAUAUUGAACAUACAUUCCCUUUAUUUGAACUCGACUCCAAAUAGCACUCCAUAUGAAGUUUCUCAGGAGCGCCCUUUCUCUUUGCUCAUUUCAGAUCAUUUACACUACCGCUACCGCAAACAGUAUCUGUGAUGCCACGCAGUCAGAUGCUAAAUGAGUAAUAUACAUGGACAGGAGAUUACUCCCACAAACUGACUUUGAUGUUGCCAUCUGUUUAUGCUGAUCAUCAAUCCAUUCUAAUAUAGAACCGGAUUUGACAUCAUUAUUUGCAGCCAUUCUGCUAACUCUGCAAAUGAUUUAAACAUCUUCUCAUCUCUCAACUAAGAAGGGAUACUAACCAAUCUAUCAUAGUUCACUGCAACCCUCGUCUAGGCUCAACUGACACCUCUCUGCUAUUUUCAUAAAAUAUAUCCGUUGAUAGUGAUUUGACAUCAUUUGGAUCAGUACUGCAAUAGCAUGCCUGCAUACUAUUCCUUGAAACUCGAAUAAGUUGCAGCUGCAUAUAAUUUCACAUUUGUCCCUCGAUAUUGAGACAAAAAAUUGUUUUCUUAUAAUGAUCAUCAUUUAUGACAUCCUCACUUACCUCGUACUUCGUCCCCGAACAUCCAUCCGAUGUAGAUAUAAGAUUGCAAUAAACCUUGCUAGUGAACUCAUCUUAAACUUCCCUGAACUUUGAAAUUGUGUACACUACUUGGAAUUACUUAUCUAUUUCAUAACUCAUCGCACAAGGUAUCGCUUGUGAGAAAGACUUGAAGCUCCUUCUCUACCUUAUUUCUCAAUGGACUUCAUACUGUUCGAUAAAUUAUUUUAACGAGGUCUUCGAAUGCAUAUACCCAUUGAAGAACGCAAUCAUACUUUCACUUUGUUGAGUAGUUGACAUACAUGCCCAAAAAGUGGUUCUCAAAUAGCAAGGAACCCAAUGGCCGCUAUUAUCAUAAAGCCUUAACAACCAUUCAUUAUAUAUAUAUAUAUAUAUAUAUAUAUAUAUAUAUAUAUAUAUACACGAUUUUCAUUAUAUUUUGUAUNNNNNNNNNNNNNNNNNNNNNNNNNNNNNNNNNNNNNNNNNNNNNNNNNNNNNNNCCCUUAAAAAACAUACAUUAUAUAUAUAUAUAUAUAUAUAUAUAUAUAUAUAUAUAUAUAAAUGAUUUGAAUUGUAUUUUGCAUUACCCUAUCUUGAUUGAUAAUAAUGCCAUGGAGUGCUUGGCCUUGUACACAAUGCAGCAUAUGUGUCCUCGUUUGCUAUAAGACCACAUCCUAGGACUGCCAACUGCCCGUGAUUAUUCACUCCAACAAAAGGGGCAAAAGGCAUAUCAUUUUUAUUCGUAAGUUAUGUAAUAUCGAAGGUGACAACAUCCCCAAACUGUCAUGCUUGCUUACUCGUAUUAUCUGUCCUGAAAAUAUUUUUUAUGCCCGACUUAACUCUUCAUCCAAACUAUACUAAAGUAGACCCUUGAGCACCAUGCUAGCAUAGUCGAAAAGUAUGAUUGUACUGCUACAACGUCACCUUCUCCAAGUCGUAACCAUGAUGAAAAUAUAAAAUGGCAUAUUUUCCCCCCUUAAUGCUUAUGUUUUUAUAAUUAUUUGGUGCCUAAAUGUACUCAUUAUUCUUAUAUUUUGAUUUAGGAUACAAAUGGAUGAAUAUGACGAAAUUUAGAAGAAACAAACAAAAAGGACUAAAUUGAAAGAAAAUAAAAGUUCAUGGACCAAGGUGCAAAUAGUCAAAAGAUGACUUGGAAGACAAAAUGAAGAUGUGGAAGAUUUGAAGGCCAAUUGAUAUAGGACAUGAAGUAUUGGAAGAAGUAGGAACGAGAAAAGAAAUCAAGAAAAGUGAAAAUAAAAUUUGAAGACUAAAAUGCAACUGUGAAAGAUAUCAAUGCUAUGCGGUCGCAUACGGUAUCUUAGAGACUUUGAAGGUUGAAAUUGUAUGAACUAUGUGACUGCAUUGGUUUGUACUAUGCGAUCGCAUAAUACGUUUUCGAUGGUAAAAUCCUGAUUUUCGAAAUUGAUUCAGACUCCUAUGGAAACAAAUCUGGGAACGUCUUUUAAAACCUUACGAUCAUCAUAAAAGAUAGAGAAACACCUUCCUUUCCCUCUUCUCUCUUUUACUCUUUCAAUUUUCAUGUGUGGCUAAACUUGUGUACUUGGUCGAAGGAAACUGAAGCCUCGAAAUCAAUAAAGCUGUGAGAUCUACAUUGUUUUCAUCAUUCAAUUUAUGUUUUGAGUAUCAAAUGUUCUUUUGCAUAUAUUUUCAUGAUUGCUGCAUUUAAUUACUAGGAGGCCUACUAGCUUAUUAUUUUUUCAAUCUAAUGCUGGGUUAAAUAUCAAAUCUGUAAUUAUUUGAUCCAUCUAAAUUGUAAAGCAAUUAAUAUUUGAUGGUUUGCUACGUUAGAAAUUGUUAAAUCCGGGGAAGAAUGAUUAAGUAAAUUAAAUACAACCGCUUGUUCUUGUGUUGCUUAGUUUCAUCGAUUUCUCUAAUUUUUAAGGCUCUUUCCAGAUUAAACAUUUAACGCUUGUCUUGGGUUGUUUAGUAAUUAGGGUUAACUGGAUUGCUUGUUUUCUAAUUAACUACAAUUAAGGAAGGACAUGAAGAUAAUUGAUGAUGGAUGUUAACUUAAAUCAAAGUUUGUUCUUUUGAUUAAUUUCGGUACUUUAAUUUGAAUUUUUUGUACUUGCUUCUUUGAAAAAUUGUUUUCAUUGUACUCAAAACCCCCUUGUCCCUAUCUACGUAGCAUAAAACUAAGAUAGAUGCUCUCGUGGAAACGAUCCUUACUUGCAAUACUACAUAUAUUUUUAGAAGUAUAAGUUUUACUUUUGGUUGCCUGUGACAACACCCCAAACCUCCUAAUUUUUCCAACAUAGUUUUAACAGUCCUUCUCCAUACACAUCAUGUUUUCAUAUCUACUUGCUUAAAUUACUGCAGAGUUAGAACUUUUGUGUAACAAUAUUCCUAUAAUAUCAUUUACUUCAAGCCUCGAUUUCACCUAUGUACUCAAUUCUCUAUUGCAUCGAUAUAGUCUGGACUUCGAAGGACUUGUUUUAUGAUUGUGGUCUAGCUGUAUUGUGUUAAUUCUCCAAAUUCCACAAAUAUCUGAACAUGCAAUCAGUCUGACUUUACGUCCACUCUGCAUUGUAGCAUGUGGCUUCAUAAAAUUGCUAGUAUAACUGAUUUUUUUUGUUCCUUUUCACGGCUACAAAAAAAAACGUAACAUAUCGCAAAACUCUAUCAUCACCGUUCUUCAAAAUUAUUUUUUCAUUAGAAAACCUAUGCCGUAUGCAUAUAUUUUAUAAAACUCAAAUAUUUCAUUUCCAUCCUUCAACUUCAUGACCACUUUAGGCACAAUCAGACCAUUGCACAAUCAGACCAUGCCCUCCCAACGUUUUAUCACCCAAUAAUUUCAUAUUGUCCGUAACAUUCUCAUUAUCAAACUCCAACAGCAUAAUGUCUUCGACAUAAUUCACAAUUUCUUUUCCUGUGACAAUAAACCAAUACAAUGUUAUUUAUGAUUCUAGUCAUCUAAUAUAUAUUUGAUGCAACAUAUUACUGUCCAUUAGGAGUUGUAAGGAGAAAUAAAAUAACAAAUAUAAGCUAAAUUUCCACUUAAAUGUGAAGGAUACAUACCUUAACGUAUUCAUUCACUGUCUAUUGGGAAUUGUAAGGAAAAAUUAAAUAAAAAAAUUUGAGCUAAGUUUCAACUUAAAUGUGAAAGAUAUAUAGAUUUAGCCAAACCAGCAAUUGAAUCCAUUCAAAAAUGGAACGAGCAAUUAUAUUUCGUUCUUGUAAAAUUUGUGUUUCUUACAAUAAGCAUUUGUGCGACAUAUUAACAUAAAAAUCUUGAUCGACUUCUUCUCUUAACAAGCUUUACAUUUGAAAUUAGUUCGCAAUACUCGUGUAUGAAUUUUUUUUUAAAUACAAGAACAUAACUUAGAUUAAUACGUAAAGGGGCAAUUGAAAAAUUAUUGUGCUUUAAAGAUUUACCUUCUCCUGUCCUCUUCAAGUAUCAGUGGAAGUAACAGUGGCUGGAGGUCGAAGAU
This 4512-nucleotide long non-coding RNA is filed under the name Olea europaea (common olive). RNAcentral's name for it is "long non-coding RNA (OEUR_LNC002906)". Lineage: Eukaryota; Viridiplantae; Streptophyta; Magnoliopsida; Lamiales; Oleaceae. The record is from RNAcentral.